This 301-nucleotide ribosomal RNA is filed under the name uncultured bacterium. Its description in RNAcentral is "partial 16S ribosomal RNA". It matches the Rfam family "Bacterial small subunit ribosomal RNA", at positions 509 to 807 of the family's 1533-position model. The record is from RNAcentral.
CAGUCGCCGCGGGAACACGAAGGGUGCAAGCGUUACUCGGAAUUACUGGGCGUAAAGCGUGCGUAGGUGGUGGUUUAAGUCCGUUGUGAAAGCCCUGGGCUCAACCUGGGAAUUGCAGUGGAUACUGGAUCACUAGAGUGUGGUAGAGGAUAGUGGAAUUUCCGGUGUAGCAGUGAAAUGCGUAGAGAUCGGAAGGAACAUCUGUGGCGAAGGCGACUAUCUGGGCCAACACUGACACUGAGGCACGAAAGCGUGGGGAGCAAACAGGAUUAGAUACCCCGGUAGUCCCUGUCUCUUAUAC